UAGAGAUAGGUUCCAUGCUUGAUUAAUUACUGUUCUGACUGUUUUGUUUUUGUAUUUAUGUUUGCGUUUGUUUUUAUUGUAUCUUUUGGCAGGAUUGAUUGAGCACCUUUUUCAAAAUAAAGAAGGAUGCAGUAUCAAAAGAAUGAGGUGCCGAAUGCCAAAUGCCAACGAACUCUUUUUUUUUUAUUUGAU
This 192-nucleotide non-coding RNA is filed under the name Chaetoceros affinis. The record is from RNAcentral. Lineage: Eukaryota; Bacillariophyta; Thalassiosirophyceae; Chaetocerotales; Chaetocerotaceae.